GCUGGGUAUGGUGGCUCAUGCCUGUAAUCCCAGCACUUAGGGAGGCUGAGGUGGGAGAAUCGCUUGAGCCCAGGAAUUUGAGAUCAGCCUGAGCAACAUAGGGAGACCCUGUCUUUACAAAAAAUAAAAAUAAUUAGCUGGGCUGGUGGUGCAUGUCUGUAGUUCCAGCUAUUUGAGGGGCUGCAGAGGGAAGCUCUUCUGAGCCCAGGAGUUUGAGGCUACAGUGAGCUAUGAUGGUGCUCUGCAUUCCAGCCUGGGCAGCAGAGCGAGACCCUGUCUCU
Cercocebus atys (sooty mangabey) is the source of this 281-nucleotide unclassified non-coding RNA. It matches the Rfam family "Metazoan signal recognition particle RNA". Rfam says of the family: The signal recognition particle (SRP) is a universally conserved ribonucleoprotein. NCBI's taxonomy places the organism in Eukaryota, Metazoa, Chordata, Mammalia, Primates, Cercopithecidae. The record is from Ensembl.